Molecule: ribosomal RNA, 301 nt
Filed under: uncultured bacterium
Lineage: Bacteria
Description: partial 16S ribosomal RNA
Rfam family: Bacterial small subunit ribosomal RNA
Source: RNAcentral
CAGCAGCCACGGUAAUACGUAGGGUGCGAGCGUUAAUCGGAAUUACUGGGCGUAAAGCGUGCGCAGGCGGUUUUGUAAGACAGGCGUGAAAUCCCCGGGCUCAACCUGGGAAUGGCGCUUGUGACUGCAAAGCUAGAGUGCGGCAGAGGGGGAUGGAAUUCCGCGUGGAGCGGUGAAAUGCGUUGAGAUCGGAAAGAACACCAACAGCGAAAGCACUCUGCUGGGCCGACACUAACGCUGAGAGACGAAAGCUAGGGGAGCAAAUGGGAUUAGAUACCCCAGUAGUCCCUGUCUCUUAUAA